Molecule: ribosomal RNA, 443 nt
Filed under: uncultured bacterium
Lineage: Bacteria
Description: partial 16S ribosomal RNA
Rfam family: Bacterial small subunit ribosomal RNA
Source: RNAcentral
CCUACGGUGGGCAGCAGUGGGGAAUAUUGGGCAAUGGAGGAAACUCUGACCCAGCAACGCCGCGUGAAUGAUGAAGGUCUUCGGAUUGGAAAGUUCUUUUCUAAGGGAAGAAGAAAGUGACGGUACCUUAGGAAUAAGCCUCGGCUAACUACGUGCCAGCAGCCGCGGUGAUACGUAGGAGGCGGGCGUUAUCCGGAAUGAAUGGGCGUAAAGGGUGCGUAGGUGGUUUGGCAAGUUAGUAGCGAAACUCCAAGGCUCAACCUUGGAACUACUACUAAAACUGUUGGACUUGAGUGCAGGAGGGGCAGCCGGAAUUCGUAGUGUAGCGGUGGAAUGCGUAGAUAUUAGGAGGAACCCCAGUGGCGAAGGCGGGUUGCUAGACUGCAACUGACACUGAGGCACGAAGGCGUGGGGAGCAAACAGGAUUAGAUACCCUUGUAGUC